RNAcentral lists this long non-coding RNA (5500 nucleotides) under Malus domestica (apple). RNAcentral's name for it is "long non-coding RNA (MDOM_LNC018924)". The record is from RNAcentral. Lineage: Eukaryota; Viridiplantae; Streptophyta; Magnoliopsida; Rosales; Rosaceae.
CAUACUCGGGGAGAAAUUACAUAAGAAAAUUAGGGACGGGUCGUCACAAUCUACCCCCCUUAUAAAAAUUUCGUCCCCGAAAUUUAAAAUCAUUUGUUAUACAAAACUCAAAGAUAGGGAAGAAUGAAAUAUAUGUACGUGACGAAGAAAUCAAGUUAAACUUGUUGUAUAAAAAGGGAAAAUGCCGCUCUGUCGCGAUUCAGAGUGCAUUAAUUCCUUUUCAUGCCUCCAACUCAUACUUUCCUCCCUUUUUCAGUACAAUACUAUAAUACAAUAGUUUUCACAAAACAAAACGUCAAAAAUAUUUAUACGUAUUAACGUCCCAUCGAAAAUACAUAUAUAACAACAUAAGGUUUAGGGUAGUUGUAUUGAUAGUAAAAUUGAACAUAUGAUUUUUCUACUACGUUCCCGUGUCGCGUACUCCAAAAGUAAGUACAUCAUAUUCUUGGGUCAAGCCCAAGAAAUAAAUAGGUAAAAUACAACAAACACAUAAGUAAGUACUAAGUAAGCACUAACGUAUAAGAAUCUACAUACUUGCUUAACGAAUCUAACAAAUAAGUCCUUGAUAUUACGGUCUGCAGCCCGCGAUAUCGACAACUCACUGUUGUCAUGAUAAGCAAGUAACAAUUUCCUGAGGGUGCAAUAUUACCAAUAUGCCCCCAUUGGGAAUUACACAAACAACGUCUAGUCAAGUCUCUACCAUGCUCACGCACUACCCGCUUUGGGUAACAACAGCAAUAAAAUAAUUCUAUAUUGUGAACUUGCACAAUUGAACACUUGUUCGUAAAACUCCUCUGACAACAAGUGCUAAGCAAGGAAAUUCUAAACUAUGCCUCAACAAUGUCACAACCAAGACUAAAAAUUGUAACCAUAGUUACAAGCAGUUCUAACAUAAAUAUGUCUAAUACGAACAUGGUUUCGCAAAAGAGCAGAUAAACACAACAUGCCAUGACAAUCCAAGGGUGAAAUGUAGUCGAUGACAAAACGUACUACCAAGGUCUUCAAGAAGGCUUCCCAAAAAUUUGAAAGUAAAACACGCAUCUCGAUGAGGUACCACAGUGACGUACCUGCCAUGUAAUCAGACCAACGUAGUCCGCAACGCCUUAGUAAGCAAUUUCAUAGAGAAGUUCUCUCAAAUUUAGCGAAAAGUAACUACUUCAAUAAGGCUAGAAGAAUACUCGAGAAUUUGAAGAUCAAAACAAGUCUAUCAAGUUUAGGGUAUGAGAAAACUGGAUUGGAAAGCAUAACCUCACUACAAUAGUAGUUUUCGAGAUAUUUAAUCACCACGGUAAAGAUUCGUUCAACAGAGCAUUUGUUGGGUGAUUGAGCAAUUAAUGGUCACAACUGCACUUCCAACGUCAACGGUUCUUCUAGAUAGUGUAUCCACUUCAAGGCAAUACGAAGUGUAGUAGGGUAGACACAUACCCAAGGUUAACUAGAAUACCUUCCAGCACCAAGAGGCAAAAAUGUUGUCUUUUUAAACCAACAAAAUGUGAAUUGACUUGUCACAUCAAUCGAUAAUCACCAUACAUUGCUAGUACUUAGUAAUUUUAGUAUUUUAAGCUAUUUUCGUGCAAUUUCAGGUUUUAAGGACAAAGUAUGCAUACAUGUGCAUUUUGGAGCCUUUUGGAGCAGUUUUGGGCAUCAAAUGAAUUGCAUAUGCUUGGAGGUAAGAAGAUGGACGAAAUUGAAGAUCAAAUGAGCAUAGGAUUGAAUGAUGAUGUGAAGAAUUGGAUUCAAGACAAAUAAAGAACGAAGUGUUCAAAAUUGGAAGCCAAAGUUUCUAAAGUUGGAAGUUUCUAUUCUUGGAGGUUUCCAUUCUUGAUAGUUUCUAUUCGUGGCUUGGAAGUUUCCUAAUCUUUCCUCACCUAUGUUCCAGCCACAAAGGGAUUCCAAAACAUAUUAGGGCACUUAAUUGGUUGUUCUAGAAGCCCUAAACCUUCCCUAAAGUCCUUGCCGCACAAAAGCAUCCUUUCUUUCCUAUUUUCUGAUCUUAAAACCACAUUCCCUUUUAUUCAAGCAACCAGCCGCACCUUUCCCCUCUUUCUUACCUAUUUUCUGACCCAAAAUUACAUUCCCCUUUGUUCUAAAGCCUUGCCAUACAAGGGGAUAGGAUUCUUACCUAUUUUGUGCCUCAAAACACAUUCCUAAAUCUGCCCUACAAUCUUUGCCGAAUUUCCCUUCCUUUUCUCUUUAAUUCUUGCACCUUACUUGCCUAUUUUCCAUUGAUUUCUGACUUUUAAUUAUAGGACAAAAUAGCUAAGUUAUUUCUUUCCCUAAAACUCAUAAAAACCGUGCCCUAGCCCUAUAUAAAACCUCUUUUUGCCGCAAACUCGGGGGGGGGGGGGCUCUCUUUCUCUUCUCUUCUAAUCAGCCAUUCCAUCCUUCACCAUAACCUACCUACAUCCAUCCACCACCACAAUUCACCACAAAUCAUCACCAAACACCCUUGUGUCGCAGCAAAGAAGAAAGAAGGAAACCCUUGGACGUGCUUGCCAUUCAAGACGUUGGAUUGUUGGAGCGUUUCUAGGUGUAAUCUUUCUUUUGUUUUCAAUGUUUAAGUUUAUGUAUCUUUGUUUUGCGAACAUGAGGAACUAAGCCCCUCUUGGCUAGGGGGCUAUUCAAUACCAUGAUUAUACUUGCAUUAUGAAUUGAUUACCUUCAGUUGUUAUUUCAUAAGUUGUGAAUUCAAUUUGCUUAACCGUUUGAUUGAUAACUUAUUCUUGUAUGUUUAUUAAGAGUGCACACUUAGUUUUCAUGCAAGGAUUUGAAGCUAAAAUAUAAGGGAGUUUCACCUAAUAGUUACAAAUUUAUAUUUGCAAGUAGUGGAGGUCGCUUAUAAACGAUCAUGUUAAGUGAAUUCUUGGCAAAAGUUUCAUGCUUUUCAUAGUUACAAUUGCCUUGUCAAUGCGUAUAGUUUUCAUGAAACUUAAUGAUCUUUGAUUGUACCUUUAUUGUGCUUUUCACGUAGGGGACUUUUAGAGAAUGCUUUGAAUUGAUUAUGUGCUUUCCCAUCCAAUUCAUUAACUUAAGGAGAACUUGAAGGUUAAAAAAGUGUUGUCACAGUUAACCUGGAGUAUUGAGUUUCAUGACUUAUUAAGAUAAGCAAUUGGAAAUCAAUUUGAAUGCAAGUGUGUCAUGUGUGGAGAAGAACCCUUUAGUUACCCCAUAUCUCAUCAAUUCACCUAAAUUUGCUUCAGAAUCUGUUUAAAUUGUUCUUGUUUUAAUUUACUUAUUUUCGUCCAAAACCAAACCCCCUUUACUUUGUUAAGUCAUAUUAGUUAGAACUUGUCUUAGAUUGUGUUUUUAAGUGUUUUGAGCCUUUAGAAACCCAAAUUUCGUCCAAAUUGUGUUUAGAGUUCAAAACUGCCUAGUUUGUGUUUUUAGGCAGUUUUGAGUGUUUUUAGCUUGUUUUGAGUCUUUUGAGUUUGUUUUGAGUCUUUUGAGUCUAGUUAAGUGUUUUAAAGCUUAGUUUUAUCUAUUUGAGUCUGUUUAGAGUGUUUAGCAAUCUCUCCUAAUCCCCGGUUUAAGAAUGAUCCCUACUUAUACAUAUACUACAAUUGUCAACAAGAGGGUUUAAUUUGUGUGUUUAGUUAUUUUACGCAUCAACUAGGACUGUAUGACGAUAUUUUCCUAUCUCUACCCAGACAUAUGAAAUGAUUACAAUCACUCGAAUGAUUCUUGAUCACUUGUAAGUAUCGUCAAAUAAAUACUCAUGAAUCCUUGUUAUAAUGGGAUAGGAUAAGUUAAAGACUUUCAAGGGUAGAUGUGUCUUUUGUUGUUGGAGCUGCAAAUACGUUGCACAAUCGGGAUAAUACACGAUAGUGCAAUCGCACACAUUGAUCUAGUUCUUCCAUCGUCGUUGUUAGAAAUUUAGCCUUUACUCAGCGAAAGUGUACUCGAGAAAUUGUGAGGUUGAUGAACAUUUGGUACACGUUUCUCCAUAUAGGAGUGUCAUUCAGCUUUCAAUUAAAAAUGAUGAUUAUUGACUCUGGGUCAUGAAUAAGAUGGUUCAUUUUGAACAAUUCUAACCGUUGAAAAUAGAAGCAAUACUUCGUCGUGCCGUUUCUGCAUAGCUUAAACAUUCGAAGGACACGUCACACUGGAUUUCGAAAAUAUCAGAGUCAAUAAAAGGUGUAAAACAAAGGUAAGAUGAGACAACAUUUCAGUGGUCAGAAACUUUAAUCAUUUUCAAUAACGCCACCUAAAUUAACUUUCCUCGGUCGUAAGUGAGGAAAGACAUGGUAGCCGAAAAGAUCGUCAACAAUUUGUCGAUAAAUUGACAAGAUCAAGAUAUCAUGGUUUUGCAAUACCUUACAAGAAUUUCAACCUUCUUCCACUAAACCCUUUUUGGAAAAAAAGGAAAGAUUGUCGUUUACCAAGAUCACGUCUUCCAAGAAAAUACCAACUAACAAGGGUUACUUGAGGAAAUGGUAUAAACUGAAUGUUGGUGUUCCCAAACACUAAAAUUGAGGAGAGAGAGUCGUUGGUAAAACUACUCUGAAUUUCAUUCGGCUAUGAAAGAAUUCUCAGUUUCCAAAAGUCAAUUGGAGAGUACAAUAAUUCGAAGUAGGACUAACGGUUUUAGUCGUCAACCGAUUGAAUUGUUAAAGUCUAGGUACGAUUCUAGGGUUUGACCUUUUGCUUUGAGUAUACGUUUGAGGUUCCUAAGAUAAAGUGUUUGGUUGGUUAUGCGACAAGGGCCCUCUAUAAAAGUUAUGUGUCUUUUUCUCUUAAGGGUUCGAAAAGAUGCAAGGAAAAACUGGUGUAGUAUAGAGAAUGGAUCGAGGUGUGCCUUACCUCGCUAAUUGGUGACGGCUCUGAAGCAAAUUGAGAAAUGACGCCAAAAGUAUACGUCAUCAAAUUGAACAAUACUACUUCUUUUCUCUACGCCACGUACUACAAGGCCUUCAUAACCUCCUCAAAACUCAUUUCGCUCCUAAAUUUCCACGAUUUAGUUCUUCGGUUCAAGUAGUCACUUUAAAUCAGUUUAUCAGUCGCGCCGUAAUUUAACACGCUUAGGAUAAUUUAAUAUUGUUCGUUACUCUGAAACAGUGAACUGGCAUUCUGGCUUAAAGGUAUCACUCCCAGAUACUAAUACUUGCAUCCAGUAUCAGAAAUCAUACCACCAAAUGAUGUGAGAAUUACUUGACACACAAAUUAAACCCUCUUUUUGACAAUUGUAGUAUAGAUGUAAGUAGGGUAUCGUUCUAGGCCGGGGAUUAGGAGGGCUUGCUAAUAAUCUCUUACUUGACUCAAAAAUAUAAGAACAAAGUUAAAAACGUUAGAAUAGACUCAAUGACACAAAACUAUACCUUACAAUACCUCACUAGACUCAAAACACUUUAAGGCACAAACUAAACAAACUUAAACACACUUUGAUACAAGAAAGUAAAUGGGGGGUAUUGGUUUGGAUGAGAUUGAGAUAACAAAAAGUAAAACUAAAUAGAUGGUUGAUGGAUUAGCUAGAGAUCCAUUCUUCACACAUGACACACUUGUA